GACGAACGCUGGCGGUAUGCUUAACACAUGCAAGUCGAACGAGAAGUUUUUUAUUGAACCUUCGGGGGAUAUAAGAGACAGACAGUGGCGAACGGGUGAGUAACGCGUGGGCAACCUACCUAUCGGAGCGGGAUAGCCUCGAGAAAUCGGGAGUAAAACCGCAUAACACGGAUAUAUCGCAUGAUGAAUCCGUCAAAACUCCGGUGCCGAUAGAUGGGCCCGCGUCUGAUUAGCUAGUUGGUAAGGUAAGGGCUUACCAAGGCAACGAUCAGUAGCCGGUUUGAGAGGGCGAACGGCCACACUGGAACUGAGACACGGUCCAGACUCCUACGGGAGGCAGCAGUGGGGAAUAUUGCGCAAUGGGGGCAACCCUGACGCAGCAAUACCGCGUGAGGAAGAAGGUUUUCGGAUCGUAAAGCUCUGUUAUUGGGGAAGAAGCAGGACGGUACC
RNAcentral lists this ribosomal RNA (450 nucleotides) under Pseudoramibacter alactolyticus. RNAcentral's name for it is "bacterial SSU rRNA". It matches the Rfam family "Bacterial small subunit ribosomal RNA", at positions 28 to 479 of the family's 1533-position model. The record is from RNAcentral. Lineage: Bacteria; Bacillati; Bacillota; Clostridia; Eubacteriales; Eubacteriaceae.